Long non-coding RNA from Falco peregrinus (peregrine falcon), 2698 nucleotides. RefSeq lists it as uncharacterized. Lineage: Eukaryota; Metazoa; Chordata; Aves; Falconiformes; Falconidae. The record is from RefSeq and is a predicted model, not a curated record. The transcript has 2 exons.
UUUAAAAACAUUCAGCAUUCCUGAGUAGAAAGUAGCAGCACUUGAUCUUCAACAAGUCACUCUGCUACUGUAGCUCAUUUAAGAUUAUAAAUGGCUGCUAAACUGAAAACAUAGGAAUGGGGGGAAAAAAUGGGAAAGGUGGCAUAAAGGCUUUGAAGACAUGAACAAAAGUGGUUUUGAUUAAUAUCACUUUCCUCCUCUGUCAUCACACAUGGCUUUCUAGUUUUCAGAUCCCAUUUCAUGAGAAGACAAAAAUGCACACUAAAACCAAAUCUGUUUGAAGACUGCUUUUGCCAUAAAUCAAAUUGCAGCACAGCUUCUAGUAUAUUACUAAUUUCUGUUUGAGUUAUCUGCUGAAAGACAAAGCCCAUUCAGACACAUCAGCUAGCUCGUUUGCACUACAUAGUUAAAAAUGUCCUUCUGUUUGCUUAAAGGAAAAAAAGUACAAACAUCACAAUCAUUCCCUUUUCUUUGGUCUCAUUACAACUUUCAUUAAUGCUGUUUUUAUGAAUGAUGCUCUUCUGAAAACUACCCAACUUUAAAGUUACUACUGGCCAGGAGCAGAAUUUGUCUACAUAAACUUUCUCUACAGAGUUGUUAAACAGUAAUUUCUGAGUUACUCAAAGCACUAAAAAAAGAAGAGAAGGAGACAGUCCGUCAGUUUGGGAAACAGCUUCAGUCUAUUAAUGACCUUAUGUUAAAACAAAACCUCUCUUUCAAGUGAACCAUAAUAUAAACCACACAAAUUAGUACUGUUAAGCAAGAGCUGUGUCCUGAGGAAAAACAAGCUUGGCAUUUAGUGCUGAGGACCAGCAAAGGCAAAUGGACCCGCUCCACUUCCACUGAAAUCAGUGAACUCAAGUUCAAUGCCCAGACCUUCAGCAGAUGCAGGGUGACACAGGACUCCCAUGGGAUCACAGCCACUAUGCAAACAGCAUAGGGGAACAGCAAAUAAGCCCUACGCCUUCAGUACUUCUAUAUUUACCACAAUAUUUUUGGAUACUGGACAAAACCUAAGUUUUAAAAGGCUUUUCCACUGUCAUUUGUAAAUUUCUAUCACUAUUUGGUCUGCUAUGAUGGGAACAAUAUCUCAUUGAUCGCUGCAGAUGCUGUCAGAAAAGGUUGCUUUCUGCUCAAAAAUCCUUGAAAAGCAAGACUAUACAGUAUUUUCUUAAACACUCACUUCUUCCACCUCUUAAGGCCAAUGUAAUGCCCAUGCUCACAGAUCGUCCCCACUGCAUUCUCUCAAGGGGUACUUUUCUCUUUGCUGGUAGUCACGCUAAUACCUUGCACAGUAUUAGUCCUCUCUAUUCCUUUUCUUAAUUGGACUCAAGUUGCUUUUAGUUCAGAUUUUCCAUCCUAAAGAAGAGCUGUUAGUUUGCUUCCAUCACCCUUAGAUCCAUACUCUUAUUAAAGAAAAUGCACUGCUAAAGUACAGCAAUAGAUAUUUCACCACAUUUAUUAUACUGGUUUCUUUGUAAACUUUCUACAGUUGUUCUGCUGGAUUUUUUUCCCCCCGUAGAUCAUCCUCUCUUUCUCACCACUUGAUUUGCCUCAGUCUUACCUUCCUCCUUCCCAUCUGAACACCAGACAGAGGACAGUUUUUAUUGCCCACUUGUGUCUUUCCAUAGGCCACAAACACACCUUUAACACCCUAGUAAUUUUACCAAAGGUUUAUUAAUUCCACUGCAAGCCAUUGAACACUUUUUUGUUGGUGGUGGCAUUUUUGUUUGGUUGGGUUUUUUUGAGAAUAAAAAAAAAAAAAACAACAACUAAACACCACAACAAAGCCAAACAAACAGUAUUAGUCACCUACUUAAAAUCUAUAUGAAUUCUCAGUAUGUAUUUCCAACAAUAUUCCACCUCUUAGAGCUACAGAAUUUCAAAUAUGAGGUCUGUUUUCUUGUUUAGAAUGAACAUUGGUGUCUCCCAACUAUCCUUCCACUUAAACAUCAAGUUUAACACUCCUUUACUGGACAAGAUGUUUUUCCUGCAAGCAGAGAGGAAGGGGAGAGACUCAGAGUUCCCGCACUCUUCUCCGCUCCUUUCUUUUCCCUACUCCCUUGGAAACUUUUCAGGCUGAAACACAACCACAUGAUUUAAAGAAAAACAUCAAGCUGGGAAAACACAUGCAGAUGUUUUUUCUUGCAAUGAGAAGCUUUUACCAGGGCACACCAGUAAUAACAAGAUGGCCGGAUGAGGCAACGUGUCUGAAAAGCUCGGCUGUCAGCUUGUUACAUUAGCCGUAUGUAACACCCCAUCCACUCCCAGGACCGCAUGAAAUUGCAGAAGUUCAAUGGAGAAAGCUACAGGGCAAGCAAGAUGAGAGAAAAAAACCCAACAACAACAAACCCUCCAAAAAACACACACAAAACCGCACCCAAACCCCCUGUGUUCAGCAGUUCUCAUUUUGUUUCUUACGGAGUCCUGGAAGUUUGUUCAGAGCUAAAACCCCACCACUGAUUAAAGGCAGAACAGGAAGGAUUAAACCAUUAUCAUAUCUUUAAAUGCCGGGGAAGACUGGUAUGUGCCCCGUGGAAAAUCACAACAGGUGCCACCCCGGCCCAAUUUCAACAACCCCUGCAACUGGAGGGGCUAGUUCCUGCACUAGCAACCAGCCUUUCAACUGGAAAGGCUCCGGCUAAAUUAGCUGUAAAGCAUCUUAAUUAAAACGAGUAUGGUGGUUUUGGCUCACUCA